GACACGCGUGUCUCCUUCUGUUCUGGGGACAAGUUAAGUGGGAUUUUUGAGGAGCUUUGUCUUUCCUUAUUUUCUAUGUUAUUCUUCUUCUUCAUUUUUUUUUGUUUUACUAAUAUUACUACAUUUCAAAAUUUUAAAGAUAUAAUAAACGAAACUUUUUUUCUAUAGUAGUUGUAGAUUUUAUAGGGAAUUUCGACUUCUCUUUUCAAACACAUCAUUACUAUAUAUUUUUGGUUAAGAUGAGAAACUUACU
Molecule: long non-coding RNA, 253 nt
Organism: Arabidopsis thaliana (thale cress)
Lineage: Eukaryota; Viridiplantae; Streptophyta; Magnoliopsida; Brassicales; Brassicaceae
Product: other RNA
Exons: 1
Source: RefSeq